This is a long non-coding RNA of Mauremys reevesii (Reeves's turtle), 1751 nucleotides long. RefSeq lists it as uncharacterized. The record is from RefSeq and is a predicted model, not a curated record. NCBI's taxonomy places the organism in Eukaryota, Metazoa, Chordata, Testudines, Geoemydidae. The transcript is spliced from 4 exons.
UCUCUAAAGAGCAUGAGAAGUUGCUGUACUGAAUAAAGCACUAAAAUGGGAGCUACCUGUUCAGAUGAAAGGAAAGUAGUUGGUAAUUCUAACCAAAGAUGAUGAUCUUUGUUCCUUUUUCCUUUCCCAGAGAAGGCCAUUGGUUGUUCCUAAAAGGAUGUAACAGGGAUGUUAUUUCAAAGAACAAGUGCAACUAACCAGAGUGUGAAGAUGAGCAUUGAGCCUGCUCUUCCAUUUGCAGAGAGGAGUUGUCCAGCUGAUUCUAGUUGUGCCUAAUUGAUCAUUGUUGCUUCUUUUUCAGAUGUCAAGAAUUAAGUGGAACUGAUCAUUUCUAUCAAGAGGUAAGGAACGCACCUCCUCAAAGCACGGGGGCAGGACUUAAAGGCUCUGUUUCUAUUUUCAGGGGAAAUGAAGGUCUUACCAUUCAAGGGAGGAUGAUAAGAGGCUGCUGAAUUUAAGAAAAAAAGACAGGUAAGGAUCCCUGGCCAGAGGAAAGAAAAGCUUCUUUUACUUUUACUUCUAGUUCAGAAAAAGGCAAGCAGCCAUUUAUAAGCUUUAGGUUUUAACCAGCGUAGCUGGCUGUACCGCUAAGAAUCAAAGCCUUGCGGUGGAACAUGACUGACAAGUAGGUGAGCACUGAAAGGUCUCUAGAAGCCUAAUGAUUUGGAUGCUAAGGAACCUUCUCCAUUGAUGACUCUUCAAUGCUGGCAAUGAGUAAUAAUAAAUAAAUCUGUCAAACAUUGAUUGCAGGUUUUGCUCUUCUGAGAUAUGAAGAGACCAGGUGGUCAUUCCUACUAAGGAGAAGUGAGGCUCAGUGGCAUGGCUGUCCUGGGCAAGGAGACAAAAAAAGCCACUUCAAAUAGUUCAGCUAGUCGCAAAUCUGAAUCAAGUCAGCAGAACAUCACAGACAUGGAGAUGAGAGAAAUUCAGAUGAGUUGAACAUUGAGGGUGUGAAAACUGGAGGAAGUUGCUAGAAGAUCUGGGAUAUCUACAGAAAGGAAACAAGCAAAACUCAUCCCUGUUACCAAGAGGAGGAGAGAGUUACAGAUGCUCAGGAUUUGAGUACAAAGGAAUAGGAAUGGAGCUGAACAGAUUCAACACCUUAAAGGACGAUUGGAUCUCAAAAUAUGAAAGUCCCUUCAUUCAAUAAAGCAACAGGAUUGGCUCUGAGGAGAGGUAAGCAGCAUUUGGGAAGUCUAAGAAAUGAGCAUAGCAAUUUUGUAGCGCUGAUUGUAACUUAUGUUGUGCCAAAGGGUUUGUUACAGCUGAUCAGACAUCUCAGGAGCUAAGAGGAUGUGAGGGGGAUGGCAGAUGUCAGGGGAUUCGUCUUUAUUAGGAGGUGGUGAACCUGCUUGUCACUUCUGAGUGACAUCAGUGGCUUUGGUUUUGCUUGAUGAAGGAAAGAGCCAGCGUGGACAAUAUUCAAGACACAAUGUUCAAAAGUUGCUGCUGGGAUGGAAGCAAAGAAGAAAGCCCUGGAGACGGGUUAGUGCUGGGACACAGGCACUAUCCUGGAGGGGCCUGGGACAGGGUGUGUAACCAUAGUGACCAGUGGGUUCUUUCCCCACUGUGGUCCUGGCUCGCAUGCACAGGGUGAAACCGAUCGCCAUGUUUGGGGUCAGGAAGGAAUUUUCCUCCAGGGCAGAUUGGCCAGAGACCCUGGAGGUUUUUCGCCUUCCUCUGGGGCAUCGAGCAGGGACCAGCCCUUAGGGCCAUUUAGGAACAGACAUAAUAAAAUCCAUCAGAGAGAA